Non-coding RNA from Podospora australis, 88 nucleotides. The record is from the annotation of a GenBank genome assembly. NCBI's taxonomy places the organism in Eukaryota, Fungi, Ascomycota, Sordariomycetes, Sordariales, Podosporaceae.
GGUUGUGUAGUGUAGUGGUUAUCACUCUGGAUUUUGAGCUCAUCACUCAUCACUUCCAGUAACCCCGGUUCGAACCCGGGCACGACCU